CACUCCUGCGGGAGGCAGCAGUGGGGAAUAUUGGACAAUGGGCGCAAGCCUGAUCCAGCCAUGCCGCGUGAGUGAUGAAGGCCCUAGGGUUGUAAAGCUCUUUCACCGGAGAAGAUAAUGACGGUAUCCGGAGAAGAAGCCCCGGCUAACUUCGUGCCAGCAGCCGCGGUAAUACGAAGGGGGCUAGCGUUGUUCGGAAUUACUGGGCGUAAAGCGCACGUAGGCGGAUCGAUCAGUCAGGGGUGAAAUCCCAGGGCUCAACCCUGGAACGGCCUUUGAUACUGUCGAUAUGGAGUAUGGAAGAGGUGAGUGGAAUUCCGAGUGUAGAGGUGAAAUUCGUAGAUAUUCGGAGGAACACCAGUGGCGAAGGCGGCUCACUGGUCCAUUACUGACGCUGAGGUGCGAAAGCGUGGGGAGCAAACAGGAUUAGAAACCCUUGUAGUCCCAUGA
This 450-nucleotide ribosomal RNA is filed under the name uncultured organism. RNAcentral describes it as "partial 16S ribosomal RNA". It matches the Rfam family "Bacterial small subunit ribosomal RNA", at positions 334 to 800 of the family's 1533-position model. The record is from RNAcentral.